This 301-nucleotide ribosomal RNA is filed under the name uncultured bacterium. RNAcentral's name for it is "partial 16S ribosomal RNA". It matches the Rfam family "Bacterial small subunit ribosomal RNA", at positions 509 to 809 of the family's 1533-position model. The record is from RNAcentral.
CAGCCGCCGCGGGAAUACGGAGGGUGCAAGCGUUAAUCGGAAUUACUGGGCGUAAAGCGCACGCAGGCGGUCUGUCAAGUCGGAUGUGAAAUCCCUGAGCUUAACUUAGGAAUUGCAUUCGAUACUGGGAAGCUAGAGUAUGGGAGAGGAUGGUAGAAUUCCAGGUGUAGCGGUGAAAUGCGUAGAGAUCUGGAGGAAUACCGAUGGCGAAGGCAGCCAUCUGGCCUAAUACUGACGCUGAGGUACGAAAGCAUGGGGAGCAAACAGGAUUAGAUACCCGAGUAGUCCCUGUCUCUUAUAA